This 376-nucleotide long non-coding RNA is filed under the name Homo sapiens (human). Its description in RNAcentral is "non-protein coding LINC01880:19". Lineage: Eukaryota; Metazoa; Chordata; Mammalia; Primates; Hominidae. The record is from RNAcentral.
UAGCAAUAGAGUAGGGCGGGGGCACAGCAGACAUGGGACCAUCAUCUGGAUUCCUAGACGUGCAACUGCAACUCACUCCCUCGCCCUGCCUCCUGCCGGGCCUAGGGAUGUAGCUGGUUCAGCAGAGCUGCCUCCUUCCCCAGAGGAAUGACACCAGCCAGGAACCGCACAGGGCUACGCAGAGACACCAGGAAACAGAGGAACGGCACCAGCCAGGAACCACACAGGGCUACGCAGAGACACCAGGAAAAAUCAAACACUUAGGCAGGAAAAAGACAUUAGGCAGAUGGAAAGCAUACAGUGCCCAUAAAUAUCAAGAACACGAAAAUGCUGCCAAUUAUCACUGCUCUUAUUCAGCAACACAUUGAAAUCCCAA